Molecule: non-coding RNA, 46 nt
Filed under: Trichobilharzia regenti
Lineage: Eukaryota; Metazoa; Platyhelminthes; Trematoda; Strigeidida; Schistosomatidae
Source: RNAcentral
GCAGUGCUGAAGAGUCCCAAACUAGGACGAAACAGCUGUCCGGUAC